Molecule: long non-coding RNA, 1372 nt
Organism: Ostrea edulis (European flat oyster)
Lineage: Eukaryota; Metazoa; Mollusca; Bivalvia; Ostreida; Ostreidae
Exons: 2
Source: RefSeq, a predicted model, not a curated record
ACAUGACCCACGAACCAUGAAAAAUGGCCUAGCCUGGGAAAUUGAUAAUUUCUGUAUAUAAUAAUCUUCGGGAUAUAGGCUUUCUAGAAAUGUUUUUCUUUUUUUCAUAUAUUCUAUACUUUUUUGUUAAUAUGACGUUGAAUAUUGUGGUAUUUAAUGUUAAAAAAUUAACAUUUCGGGAUACACGUCACAACAAUAAACCUCCAAUGACCAUGUACAAUGUACAUGAACCUAUAAAUCUCUGAAUUUAUCAAGUUAUAUGCACUCAAAUAGCUAGAAUGGCUUAUUCAAUGAUCAUAAUAAGCAUUUUUGACCAAAUUUGGGAAAUAGAAAUAAGAAAUAUUUUGGAAAUGAUGUUCAAAGCCGUGAUUGUUCAACUUUACUUUUAAAUUAUUUUUACUUGAAUUUUAAAAUACUGAAAUAAGAAGAAUAAAUAUAGUAUGUAGUUUAUUUACAUGGUGAAAGAAGUGAAUCAUUGGAACAAUUCUGUUUCAUAUCAUAUUCCAUAGUUUUGGGUUUUUUUGUUUUCUUUCUUAUUUUUUUUUUUUUUAGUAUUAAAACGACCGAGUAUCGAAAGCAAUGGUAACGAAAUAAGUUGACACCGCGUCUCGUCAAAACAUGUUCAAUUCGAAUUUACUCGGAAUUACACGUUCAACGAGCAUUUGCUGUGAAACCUGAUUAAAGGAAAAUUACUGUAGACACCUAAUAGUGAUUUGUACAGAAGCGAGCCCCGGCAGGAAUGAUGGCCUCUUUUGAAAUGAAGAUUUCAUGCCUUACUCCUACUGGGACUACAACUAACUUUGGACCUGGUCACUCGCAGAUACAGCAUGAAGUGUGCCCUCUUGAUGUACAUGGGGAUGGGAGUGAUACAGAAGGGGGACUAAUUGGAAGAACUGCUGCUGCUGGUGGUGGUGCUGGACUGUCUUGAAUCUGUUGCCUAACCGACUUGAUAUUCUUCUGUUUAAUAUGGGAGCAACACACACACUCUGGCAUAUAUUGCACAGAAAAUCAUGAUCAGAUGGUGCCCUCCCUAUCAGAGUGGUGAUCACUGACCUAUAUUUCUUUGAAAUCCUGGAUCUGUGUUUUGGUUUUACUCUCCAUGGACAGUUGAAACAGAGAAAGAAUUAGGGACCACUCCUUGGCAUAUCUGAAAUAUUUAUGUCAUAUACAUGUAAUUAAAAUAUACAAUUUGGGUUGGAUGAAAAUCUUAUCUUCAUGUUAAAACCCAUUAGCCUAGGUUAUUUUUCCUAAAAUCUAAUUAUAAAUCAAUUAACUUGUUAAUUAAUGCUUGGUGAAUCAAUUAAUAAAUUGUAUUCAAGAACUUGGAAUUAUUUUUUUUCCCACUAAUAAACUGAAAAUGUGUAUCUUCAAA